GUUUGGCACCUCGAUGUCGGCUCAUCGCAUCCUGGGGCUGAAGGCGGUCCCAAGGGUUAGGCUGUUCGCCUAUUAAAGCGGUACGCGAGCUGGGUUCAGACCGGCGUGAGCCAGGUCGGUCCCUAUCUGCUGUGGGCGUUGCAAACUUGAGAGGAGUCAACUUUAGUACGAGAGGAUUAGGUUGGACUGACCCCUGGUGAUCCUGUUGCGCCGCUAGGUGCAUCGCAGGGUAGCUACGUCGGGCAGGGAUAACAGCUGAAAGCAUCUAAGCAGGAAGCCCCCCUCGAGAUCAGGUUUGCUUGUCUUGUACGAGAGACCCCUGGGAGACUACCAGGUUGAUAGGCCGC
This 347-nucleotide ribosomal RNA is filed under the name Alexandrium margalefii. RNAcentral's name for it is "partial Bacterial large subunit ribosomal RNA". It matches the Rfam family "Bacterial large subunit ribosomal RNA", at positions 2516 to 2864 of the family's 2925-position model. The record is from RNAcentral. Lineage: Eukaryota; Dinophyceae; Gonyaulacales; Pyrocystaceae.